Long non-coding RNA from Nycticebus coucang (slow loris), 3372 nucleotides. RefSeq lists it as uncharacterized. The transcript is spliced from 3 exons. Lineage: Eukaryota; Metazoa; Chordata; Mammalia; Primates; Lorisidae. The record is from RefSeq and is a predicted model, not a curated record.
UAUUUGUGUUGUAACUAUUGUUUUUUGUGAGUUUUCUUUGUUGCCCCGUGCGAGCGUGGCACCGCUUUAGACUUAGACCUGUGUUGUGCCUGUUGACUGGCCAGGGCGGGAGACAGACGAGGAGUUGUCCGUGGGCUCAAAGCAGCUUCAGGGCUUGGUGAAGGACAAAAUGGCGAUGGCGGGCCGUGGCUCUCGCUAUGAUGAGGACUUUUUCACAGACCUGUACUGAGCUCCAUGAGGAUAAGUAACUCUGAGGAGACGGGCCCUGCAUAGCCGCCUACUAGGCCGUAGCUCCAGAAAACAAAGCGUUCUCGAAAUACCCUGUACUAAUCUUAUGUCUUGGGCUCUUGUCUACAGGGUCAGGCGCACGUUUGAAUCGAAGUAGAGCUCCCCUUGGAGUAAGUGCUUAUAGGUAUUUUUUAUCUCUCUUUGAGUGUAUGGAAGUCCCAUGGGAUUUGCUACGGUGAUGAUUUUAAAAACUGAGCUCUCUCUUGCUGAUGUGUUAGUGGAGAAAGCAUAAAAAUUCUGAGUAGUAGUGUAUGUUUGGGGUCUUUUGGUUUUCAAUUUUGAGAUGUUAGUGAAGGAUGUUUUUUUCCUCAGAUGCUCAGCUCAAAGGACCUUACUGCUGGUAGGGUGGGACGAAAUACGUCCCUCUGCGAAGCCAAUAUGGAAGUGAUGUUCCAGCAUUUCAUAAUCUUUCCUGAGGAAUUCAACUGCCUACCAGGGUGAACACAGGUAAUUGGUCAGAUGGGUGGGUGCAAGGUAUGUCAACUUGUUCACAUUUAGGAGGACAAAAUGGUCAGAGUGUUGCAGCUUUGCUCCUUCCAUCUUAUUCCUCCUGAGGUGGCUUUCUGGGGGGAGAGAGCACAAUUCAGUGAUACAGUUGGUACUUGUAAGAGUGUUCUUCCCUCAUUCACACACAUCACUGUCAAAUGAUUUGAAUUGAUAAACUGAUGCUCUGUGAGGUAUAUCAGUUAAUAGCAUGUUAGAGUUCUGAUGGCAGUGUUGUUAAUGAAAAAAUCUUGUUACAUCCUAAUGCUUUAAAAUAACCACUUGCUCCUCUUUUCCCAGAUUAUCCUAAUGACGAUAUGUUCCUCUGUCUUGGAGUAAGUUGUUUCUCCAGAUAACCAUAAUUACAUACACAUAUUUGAACUCAUGCAAAUAAUGGCUUUAUGUUCAUGGUAUUUGUCAUUGAAACCUGAUUGAGCUAUAAAGCUUUCUGGUUCUCUUGUUGCCUAGAGUAAUUUCUCUUGACCUCCCAUUAUUUCUCCUAGAUGCCCACAGAUCCACCCAGGGUCAGACUCCACAUUAGUUGCAGUUGCCAGGGUCCGGUGCCAAUGUGAGCAAGCAUUCUAUCUUACCCUGUGUCAUAGUCCCAGAGCCAGUAAUAAAGAAUACACUGGGGUAAUUGAGAGGAUGAGAACUGUUCCAUAAGGAACUGUCUGAGGUAUGCCAAAUACCUAUUAAGUAGCACUUGCUUUGCUUUUCUUCACUUGUCCGUUGGCAUAGAAUAGCUGUGGUCAUUUUGGAUACUUUGCCAAUUAAAUGAUUUUUUUUAAUUCAGGAGCAUCUUCUUUCUGAAUACCAUUGGGAAGGCUUUGGAGUUGAGAGGUUAGUUUUUCUUGUGACUUGUGCCACCAAAUAGUCAGUUUCUGUGAUGAAUCAAACUAGCUCACUAUGAUUGGCAGUGAAAAUACACGAACACCUGAGAAACUAGAACAGGAGUGAGGGGAGAUAGCACAUUAAAGGAACCUUUGGCCCACAGCUUUGUUUUUCCCCAGGUACUGUUACCAGAAACCUGCUUGUUGGCACAAAGGUCAGUAAUUUCAAUGUAUGUUCAGUGCAUGCAGCAUAUUGAGUAGGAAAAAAAAAACGCCUUUUUGGGCCUGCAUGUGAUGACUUACAUGGAAUCUCGUUCGGCUGAUGACUUGCUGUUGAGACUUGGAAAUCUGAUCUCUACAAAUAAUGGUUUAAUGAGAACUUACUACAGGACAUAAGCAUUACUGACUUGGUCUUGUUUGUUUUAGGUCUAGCAUUUUGUCUGGAACCCAAGAAUAGAUCUGAGAGGUGAGUGUUUUUGCAGCACUUACAGGAAAAUUGGCUAUUAUUAAUGUGGUGGCACUUUGGUCUGGAUGGCUAUGUAAAGAUAUCCCUGGUUUAAAUCAAAGUCUGUCUUUGGUCAUUCUGGAACUACUUGUCAUAAGUUCCUGCUCACCAGUGAUGAGUUGAAUACCGCCCCAGUCUGAUAACUGACUGAAAGGUAUUUUCUGAACUGAGCUUGUUUCGCAAUAAGUGCUAAAAAUGAGAAAUUGAGUAGGGUUUACUGCCAACCCAGGAAGUUUUUUGGACUAGCUAGCUAGUGGUGUCUAAAAUGUGCCUUGAAAAUUAUAGGACCUUUACAAGUGUAUCUUCCAAACAACAGGGAGAGACUUUAAUUCUUUAUUUUGCAGGGAAGCUUAGCCCUCUUCAACCCUACUCUGAAAUUAGAGGUCUGAGGAAAGAACAAGGUGCAUAUAAAUGGUAGGUAUUCAUAUAUUUAUUUGUGCUUAAUACUUAAUAGAUUAACGAUAAAUUAAGUCUCUAAACUUGUAAGUAACAGUGGUUUGGGUAUAUAUUUAUGCUUUCCCAUCCAGUAAGAGAUAAGUACUAAAAAUGAAAUACUAAUCUCCUCAACUUACUGAAUAGACCUAGGGGGUCUAUUUGAUCUUUUGUUCAGGGAGACCCAGGAGAAACCAUAAAAACUUGAGUUCCUGGCCAUGACAGGAUAAGUCAGACAUGCCUUGUCCUCCCUACUUGAACACAACAACUGACCAGCAUUGACACAGAUCACAUGAUAGAAUGGGUUCUUUGUGGCAGUAAGACACCAAAUUAUAAAUUGCCUAAGCUGCUACCAGGAUUACCCAUUUGGAUACCUUUAAAUGAUAAAUCAUAUUCCAACCACCAUAAGGUUUUUCUUUUUCUCUACCAGCUAAACAAGCACUGGCUUUUGACAUAAGCAGCAGUAAGACAAUUGUAAGGCAUCAACACCAGACUUCCUCACUACAGCUUUAAUUGGGCAACAGACUGAUCUAACAAUAUUCCUCCUGAGAGACCAACUAUGGACUGCUAUACAUUUGAGUGUCUUCAUGCCUCUGAUUUACCUUCUGGAACCUAGUUGUAAUACAUUUCAACAUUCAUUUCCACCCCUGAGUAUGGAUUACAUGUGAUAGGCAGGAAUAAAUCUCCAUUCCUACGUUUAUAGAUCCUCAUUUUUCAAGUGGAUAACUUAAGAGACCAUCAGAAAUGGAAUUCUCUAAGUAUUUUAUUGUGCAACCUAGCUUUUUGAGCUAGUAUGCAAUAGUUACAGUCUAUUACAUAAUAAAGUUGCUUUUU